RNAcentral lists this ribosomal RNA (465 nucleotides) under Vreelandella stevensii. RNAcentral's name for it is "partial 16S ribosomal RNA". It matches the Rfam family "Bacterial small subunit ribosomal RNA", at positions 338 to 795 of the family's 1533-position model. The record is from RNAcentral. Lineage: Bacteria; Pseudomonadati; Pseudomonadota; Gammaproteobacteria; Oceanospirillales; Halomonadaceae.
CCUACGGGGGGCAGCAGUGGGGAAUAUUGGACAAUGGGGGGAACCCUGAUCCAGCCAUGCCGCGUGUGUGAAGAAGGCCCUCGGGUUGUAAAGCACUUUCAGUGAGGAAGAACGCCUGGUGGUUAAUACCCAUCAGGAAAGACAUCACUCACAGAAGAAGCACCGGCUAACUCCGUGCCAGCAGCCGCGGUAAUACGGAGGGUGCGAGCGUUAAUCGGAAUUACUGGGCGUAAAGCGCGCGUAGGUGGCUUGAUAAGCCGGUUGUGAAAGCCCCGGGCUCAACCUGGGAACGGCAUCCGGAACUGUCAAGCUAGAGUGCAGGAGAGGAAGGUAGAAUUCCCGGUGUAGCGGUGAAAUGCGUAGAUAUCGGGAGGAAUACCAGUGGCGAAGGCGGCCUUCUGGACUGACACUGACACUGAGGUGCGAAAGCGUGGGUAGCAAACAGGAUUAGAUACCCUGGUAGUC